GAAAGAUCUCCCAUGCUCAUGGAUUGGCAGGAUUAAUUUAGUAAAAAUGGCCAUUUUACCAAAAGCAAUCUACAGAUUCAAUGCAAUCCCCAUCAAAAUACCAAUCCAAUUCUUCAAAGAGAUAGACAGAACAAUUUGCAAAUUCAUCUGGAAUAACAAAAAACCCAGGAUAGCUAAAGCUAUCCUCAACAAUAAAAGGACUUCAGGGGGAAUCACUAUCCCUGAACUCAAGCAGUAUUACAGAGCAAUAGUGAUAAAAACUGCAUGGUAUUGGUACAGAGACAGACAGAUAGUCCAAUGGAAUAGAAUUGAAGACCCAGAAAUG
RNAcentral lists this long non-coding RNA (325 nucleotides) under Rattus norvegicus (Norway rat). RNAcentral describes it as "long non-coding RNA NONRATT022112". The record is from RNAcentral. Lineage: Eukaryota; Metazoa; Chordata; Mammalia; Rodentia; Muridae.